GAAUCUGAGAACUGUAACCCUUCUGAGGGAAAUCUGACUCACCAGCUAGUUUUAGUUUGAGGAAGGCAAAAGAUUUGGAUUUACAACACAGAGUCACCUAUCCAGUGUAGUAGAGACCUGGGGAGAGAGAGAACUUGCAAGAACUUGCUGGAGACCUAGAUGUCAAU
Molecule: long non-coding RNA, 167 nt
Filed under: Monodelphis domestica (gray short-tailed opossum)
Lineage: Eukaryota; Metazoa; Chordata; Mammalia; Didelphimorphia; Didelphidae
Description: lncRNA (ENSMODG00000044088.1)
Source: RNAcentral